UGAGGAAUAUUGGUCAAUGGGCGAGAGCCUGAACCAGCCAAGUCGCGUGAAGGAAGACUGCCCGCAAGGGUUGUAAACUUCUUUUGUAUGGGAUUAAAGUCACCUACGUGUAGGUGUUUGCAGUUACCAUACGAAUAAGCACCGGCUAACUCCGUGCCAGCAGCCGCGGUAAUACGGAGGAUGCGAGCGUUAUCCGGAAUUAUUGGGUUUAAAGGGUGCGUAGGUUGCAAGGGAAGUCAGGGGUGAAAAGCUAUAGCUCAACUAUGGUCUUGCCUUUGAAACUCUCUAGCUAGAGUGUACUGGAGGUACGUGGAACGUGUGGUGUAGCAGUGAAAUGCAUAGAUAUCACACAGAACUCCGAUUGCGCAGGCAGCGUACUACAUUACAACUGACGCUGAAGCGCGAAAGCGUGGGUAUCAAACAGG
This 425-nucleotide ribosomal RNA is filed under the name Verrucomicrobiota bacterium. RNAcentral's name for it is "Verrucomicrobia bacterium partial 16S ribosomal RNA". It matches the Rfam family "Bacterial small subunit ribosomal RNA", at positions 355 to 776 of the family's 1533-position model. The record is from RNAcentral. Lineage: Bacteria; Pseudomonadati; Verrucomicrobiota.